Molecule: long non-coding RNA, 191 nt
Filed under: Monodelphis domestica (gray short-tailed opossum)
Lineage: Eukaryota; Metazoa; Chordata; Mammalia; Didelphimorphia; Didelphidae
Description: lncRNA (ENSMODG00000042941.1)
Source: RNAcentral
AAUAGCCUUCUCAAUCCUUCCCACAAUCCUGUAAGGUUGAUACUAUUUUUAUUUUGUCUCCAUUUUCCAGAGGAAUAAACUGAGAUUCAGAGAAGUGAUUUACCCAAAAACUAAAACAGAAUUCAAACCCAGGUCCCUUCUGGACUGAUAUGGAUACUGUGUCAAAGGCACAAGGAAUGUUCAAAGGAUGA